AGCGAACGCUGGCGGCAGGCUUAACACAUGCAAGUCGAGCGCCCGUAGCAAUACGGGAGCGGCAGACGGGAGAGUAACACGUGGGAACAUGCCCUUCGGUUCGGAAUAACUCAGGGAAACUUGAGCUAAUACCGGAUACGUCCGUAAGGAGAAAGAUUUAUCGCCGAAGGAUUGGCCCGCGUCCGAUUAGCUUGUUGGUGAGGUAAUGGCUCACCAAGGCGACGAUCGGUAGCUGGUCUGAGAGGAUGAUCAGCCUCACUGGGACUGAGACACGGCCCAGACUCCUACGGGAGGCAGCAGUGGGGAAUAUUGGACAAUGGGCGAAAGCCUGAUCCAGCCAUGCCGCGUGGGUGAUGAAGGCCUUAGGGUUGU
This 372-nucleotide ribosomal RNA is filed under the name uncultured bacterium. Its description in RNAcentral is "bacterial SSU rRNA". It matches the Rfam family "Bacterial small subunit ribosomal RNA", at positions 29 to 426 of the family's 1533-position model. The record is from RNAcentral.